AGGACUUUAGCUUAAUUAAAGCAUCUGGGUUGCAUUCAGAACAUGUGAGGGUAUCUUGCAAGUCCUA
This 67-nucleotide transfer RNA is filed under the name Eurycea rathbuni. Its description in RNAcentral is "tRNA-Ala". The record is from RNAcentral. Lineage: Eukaryota; Metazoa; Chordata; Amphibia; Caudata; Plethodontidae.